This is a long non-coding RNA of Caretta caretta (loggerhead turtle), 1490 nucleotides long. RefSeq lists it as uncharacterized. The record is from RefSeq and is a predicted model, not a curated record. NCBI's taxonomy places the organism in Eukaryota, Metazoa, Chordata, Testudines, Cheloniidae.
UAUGCACCCUGCAGCCAUCUCCGUGUAAGAAACCAGCCCCCCGGCCCCCGGAAAGAGAGUGGUCCCUGCUCAGUGCAUUCACCACUCCGGAGAGGACUCAAAGAUCACUGCGUGUUCCUUACCCUGCUCAGCCUGGACACUCUGGAAAAGGGCUAGGAUCACCCCAAUCAGCAUGACAGCCCUGGAGAUGGCCCCGUGGCUGUGCUGCCUGAUUGCAUACUUCUGGUUUCAAAUGAGGUGUGUGGUUGACCAGUCAGUUCAUAACUCUGGUGUUUGUACCUCUGAGGUUCCACUGUAAACCAGUAACAGCUGUAUCUGCAGUAGAAGAUGAACCAAAGCAUGAACUUUUGUGAAGGUGUGCAAGGAGCUCCAGCUGCUCUUCAUAUCUCUAGCAGAUGCAGCAGAAGUUGCCUCCACGCUGGUGGAGUGAAACCUCAUCCACUCUGGGGAAGGAAUGUGGGCUAGUUGGUAGCCAAGAAUAAUGCAGCCAGAGAUCCAUUUAGAAAGUUUCUGCAGAGAUAAAAGGCCAGUGCCCUUCGGACACCCAAAGAACGUAUAUUCCUCUCUUCAUCAGAAGCUUGCGGUUUGAAAAAAAUACAACCCACCAAUGAAUGACACAGUUGGGGAAGAAGCCAGACACACAGAAGAUUCUUACUCAGGUGAUGCCGCAGUAAGAAGGAACUGGAGAAACCCCACUAUUUACCCUCCGUUCAGAGCAUGAGGAGAUCAACUGUGCAUGUGCAGACCAAUGGACACUGUUUACUAAAAAUCUCUGAACUCAUGUGCAUGGUGCCAAUGUAUACCAUGUGUGGAAUACAGAUAAGGACCUCACAUCUUUAAGAACCAUGUACACGUGUGGAAUACAUAUAGGACCAUCACUUGAAGAACAUGUGCCUUUUUUCUCAGCUAUGCUCACAACAUACCAGGGAAAUAGUGAAUUACAACUGGAUGCAUCAUCUCUACUACAUUCUGGGAUUCCCCUCAACUAACAGAAUUCUCAGCUGGACAGAUACGCUGGGUUUCCAGUUCCAGUUCAACAAGGCUGAAAAUAUGGCCCUACACUUAACUCCAUGGUACAAAUAUUUUACCAUUUGGAAGGAGGAAAAGUGGUCAAAUAUAUAUGAUCAUGUCUCGGGCUUUCUACUAAACUUAAUGUAGAUUGUAAUAAUUUUCCCAGUGCUGUUUUUCCGUCAUCUUUACAAACUCAUCUGUUCAAUCACUACCAAGGCUGCUAAUUUAGGGACAAAGUAGAAGAUAUUUCUGACUUGCACAAUAGGCUAGAGAAGCCCAUUUUUCAGGACUUCAGCAGCUUGACUGCAGACGUUGGGCAUAUUUUUUACUGACUUGAGACCUGAUUUUUCAAACAUGUGGAGGAGCCACAGCUCCCAUUUAGUUCAGUGUUGCGGGUAUCCAGCAUUUUUUAAAAUCAGGCCCUCAAACCUUAAGACAGUGAAACAGUUCUGAGCUGUGAAUGAAUGCACAUACCUGAC